Molecule: long non-coding RNA, 1011 nt
Organism: Varroa destructor (honeybee mite)
Lineage: Eukaryota; Metazoa; Arthropoda; Arachnida; Mesostigmata; Varroidae
Source: RefSeq, a predicted model, not a curated record
AUCAACUUGCCCGGACAUUGCCUGUCUGGGCAACCUCCGGGCAAGUUGGGCAACCUCUACCUCGAAGAGGAUUGUGGGGUAAAGAAAGGAGUGGAGACACCGAUGGCAAUCGACUUAGGUACUCAUCUGGGAUGGCUACUGCACGAAAGUGCAUGUGCGAUUUGUUUCGCGCUAUUUACUAGUGCUAGCAUAACGUGCACGCUGGCGACGCUGGUGUUCGCUUACUAUAGUUCGGUGUGUGCGACAGUUGUAACAAGCGCAGAGCAGUGCACAAUACUUACCGUAAAAAUGAAAAUGGAAAACUAAGUUUACAAACGCUCAAUAACGAAAUGUUUCGAGUUCUACAUCUGGCAUUUCAUCGGGUGGCAGGCUUUCGGUACGGAACGUGCGUAUGGGUCGACCCGGGUUCGAACCUAGACCACCGCAUAUCGCUAAGAGUCGCAGGAGUCGCUUGUUGCAAUGGUGGCGCAGGCGACAGUGAAACUAAUAUCAUGACUUAGUUUAAUAUAAGUUGCCAGUACAAGAGCUGAUAAUUAAAAUCGAAACGUCUUCCUAACAUGACAGUGGCAACGAUCGGUGCGUAUUCUAUCAUGUCCAUUAAUUACAAGGCACCAUCUACAAGAAAGGAUUGAACAUGGAAAACCCGUCAAGAGAUAUAUAUAUAAUACUUGCGUCGAGAUCGAAGUAUCUCGCGUAGUUUAUACCAGCGGCGUAAAUCGGUAUGCUGAUAGCAAGUAUUGAGCGAUGGGGGUUGCAGUGGGGCGGCAGCGAAUCUAUUAUUACGUAAGUUUUGCCUGUCAAGCCACGUCUUCGUCCAGGAGAUGUGAUGUGGGGGGUCAGCUUUGCCAAUAUUGCUACGCCUUUCAGCGACAGCCAUCCUCAAGGCUUUAGCUUCCCGAACUAAUAAUGACAAAAUUGCGCUUGGGAGAUAAUGCGUCUCACGCCAAGGCUCAUUCUGACGUGAUAAACGAGAAGAAAAAGAGAAUAGCGAUGAGCUAAGGUCGAUCGAGG